This 364-nucleotide unclassified non-coding RNA is filed under the name uncultured bacterium. Its description in RNAcentral is "contains 16S-23S intergenic spacer region". The record is from RNAcentral.
UCCCGGUUGGCCCGGGCAGUCUCGCGUGAAAAAUACAACACACGACAAGGGUUGCGCUCGUUGCGGGACUUAACCCAACAUCUCACGACACGAGCUGACGACGGCCAUGCAGCACCUGUCACUGCGCUCCUUACGGCACUCCACUGUUUCCAGCGGGUUCGCAGGAUGUCAAACCUCGGUAAGGUUCUUCGCGUAGCUUCGAAUUAAACCACAUCAUCCACCGCUUGUGCGGGUCCCCGUCAAUUCCUUUGAGUUUUAAGCUUGCGCUCGUACUCCCCAGGCGGCACACUUAACGCGUUAGCUUCGCAGCACAGGGGGUCGAUACCCCAUACUACUAGUGUGCAUCGUUUACGGCGUGGACUAC